RNAcentral lists this long non-coding RNA (824 nucleotides) under Cyanistes caeruleus (blue tit). RNAcentral's name for it is "lncRNA (ENSCCEG00000007169.1)". Lineage: Eukaryota; Metazoa; Chordata; Aves; Passeriformes; Paridae. The record is from RNAcentral.
UGGAUCCUCCCUGGAUCCGGGAUCCUCCCUGAACCAGCCCCUGCUCCUCCCGGGACCCUCCUGGGAUCCUCCUGGGAUCUGGGAUCCACCCUGGAUCCUCCCUGGAUCAACCCCUGCUCCUCCCGGGAUCCUCCUGGGAUCUGGGAUCCACCCUGGAUCCUCCCUGGAUCCGGGAUCCUCCCUGAACCAGCCCCUGCUCCUCCCAGGAUCUGGGGGUUUUGGGAUCCUCCCUGGAUCAACCCCUGCUCCUCCCGGGAUCCUCCUGGGAUCUGGGAUCCUCCCUGGAUCCGGGAUCCACCCUGAACCAACCCCUGCUCCUCCCAGGAUCCGGAGUUUUGGGAUCCCCCCUGAAUAAAUCCCUUCUUUUCCCACUGAUUUUGUUUUUAUUUUUUUUGGGUGUUUGGGUCAUUCCCGGAGCCCUCAAAUCCCGCCGGAUCCUCCCCUAAAAAAAAUCCCCAAAAUCCCCAAAAUUCCCAAAAUUCCGAGGCUCUUUUCUUCCCAGAUCUGAUUUUAUUGGGGGAUCCGGGAAUUCCGGGAUCGCUUCCCGCUGCCCCGGGAUCCCGGCGGGAAUUUGGGGGGAAAUUCGCCGGGGGAACCCCGGGGGAAUCCCUGGGAAUUCCCGGGAAUUCCCGGAUGGGCUCAUCCCUGCUGGGGCGGGCAGGGCUCCCCGGGACGCUCCAGGUGGAUUCUGGGGCGGAUUCCAGCGGGACUGGGAGGCGGAGAGGGGAUUCCCGGGAAUGCUGAGGGAUUCCUGGGGGAUUCCUGGGAAUGCUGAGGGAUUCCCGGGAAUGCUGAGGGAUUCCCAGGAUUCCCGGGGGAUUCCC